RNAcentral lists this transfer RNA (50 nucleotides) under Gobiodon brochus. Its description in RNAcentral is "partial tRNA-Pro". The record is from RNAcentral. Lineage: Eukaryota; Metazoa; Chordata; Actinopteri; Gobiiformes; Gobiidae.
UUAGGUAAAAUAUUGCUUUGCAAGUGCAUAUAUGUAUAUACCCCAUAUAU